Molecule: long non-coding RNA, 222 nt
Filed under: Elaeis guineensis (African oil palm)
Lineage: Eukaryota; Viridiplantae; Streptophyta; Magnoliopsida; Arecales; Arecaceae
Description: long non-coding RNA (EGUI_LNC059873)
Source: RNAcentral
UGAGACAUCAUUAUGUUGUGGCGUACCAGGAAGAGUCCAUUGUGAGAGAAUCCUAUUCUCUUUUAGAUGUGUCAGAAAUUCACCAAAAAGAUAUUCACCUCCUCGAUAGAUCAAAGAGUUUUAAUACUCUUUUCAGUUUAUUUCUCUACCUCAUUAUGGAAUUAUUUGAAUAUUUCAAAAGAUUCAGACUAGUUUUUCAUUAAGUAGAUAUAUCCAUACCUA